This 253-nucleotide ribosomal RNA is filed under the name uncultured bacterium. RNAcentral describes it as "partial 16S ribosomal RNA". It matches the Rfam family "Bacterial small subunit ribosomal RNA", at positions 524 to 776 of the family's 1533-position model. The record is from RNAcentral.
GACGUAGGGCGCGAGCGUUGUCCGGAUUUAUUGGGCGUAAAGAGCUCGUAGGCGGCUUGUCGCGUCGACCGUGAAAACUCGCAGCUCAACUGCGAGCCUGCGGUCGAUACGGGCAGGCUAGAGUUCGGUAGGGGAGACUGGAAUUCCUGGUGUAGCGGUGAAAUGCGUAGAUAUCGUAAGGAACGCCAGUGGCGAAAGCGAAUCUCUGGGCAGCAGCUGACGCUGAGGCACGAAGGCCAGGGGAGCAAACGGG